Long non-coding RNA from Panthera uncia (snow leopard), 1439 nucleotides. RefSeq lists it as uncharacterized. The record is from RefSeq and is a predicted model, not a curated record. Lineage: Eukaryota; Metazoa; Chordata; Mammalia; Carnivora; Felidae. The transcript is spliced from 2 exons.
GCCAGGGCCCGCGUGAGCCUCUGUGGCGCCAAACUCGGGGCCUCCCUCGGAGGCGAGGCCACCCCGCCGGCCUCCGCACACAGGAGGCCUCUCCCCCAUGUGGUUUGCGAGAGCAGCGGGAAGGGGCUUGAAUCUGGUGCGGCUGCCGGCUCCCCGAUGGGCAGGAGGCGGACGCUGCCCCUACCGGGAUGACACCGGGCGGGGGGGCGUCCCCGCAGCACGCAGGAGUCCCAUCCGGGUCCUUCCACCCACCCUGCAAAUGUCACUGCCCCUUGAAUUGCUGGAGUCAGGUUCCCAAGGUGCCUUGGAUGGGGAGCUCCUUUGAGGGGACAAUGUCACUCGGGUUGGCAUAGGACAUACGCUCCUCUGAGGACAGAACGUAGAGGCACGCGCCAAGCGCAAGGUGUCCUCCCUACAAGGUGGGUGAGAAACUUUGGACCCGAGCCUUCAGGAGAGGAGGCCCUUGCUCUAUCCAAGAGCGUAGCCGUUAUCACAGCCCCCUCUUCUCUCGGGUCCCCGGCGGGCGGGCGCAGAGCCAGGUGACCCAGCCCAGCCGGCGCUGGGUGGGGUGGGGGGGGGGUUGUGCCGCCCCAAGAGUCUCCUUCCUGCCCUCCUCUGUCUCCGUCUGUCUUCAGGCCGCCGCAGGGUCUCGGGUUCUACCGGAUCCCUGUUGUGAUGGCACGGUGCCUCGCAGCCCCCUGGGGACUGAAGCCGGACGGGAGCCCCACAGACACCGGCGGCAGGGUGGGCAGAGGGGCCAGCACUGCCCGCUGACCUGCUGAGACGCUGCGGCACACGGAGCUCUCCCCGAGCCCGGCUCCCCUCGGUCCACAGGGCUGCUCGCAAACACCCCCGCCCCUCUUCUCCGAGUCCCCAGGACCAAAGCCUCAAGUGAUGGAGGUGUUCUAGAUGUGUGCUAUCCCAUCGGAGCCACCGGAGCAUCUGAAGCGUGACCAGCGAGCGACCAACUCGUCUGCAUUUGUUAUAGCCGCUGAACCAGUAUUGACCCAUCAUCGUCAAGCGAAGCCCGUGAUCUACGUCAUGGUUCCACACUCUGUGUUGUGCGGUUGUGAGUGUGGACAAAUCCGUGUCAUUGAUCCACCGUUACGGUAUCAUCCAGACGGAGGAGGUUCACCGCCCUACAAAUCAGUGCUGCCACGAUUCACCCUCCCGUGCUCCACCCGCACCCAUAACCACCACUCUGUGUACUGUCGCUGUAAUUCUGUCUUUUCCAGAAGGUCAUACGGUUGCCGUCUUUUUAGACUGGCUUCUUCCAACUUCCCAAUUUACAGUGAAGGUACCUCUGUGUCUUUGUGCCUUCGCAGCUCACUUCUUGUAACCGCUGAAUGUCGUCCCACGGUGUCGAUCCAUUCACCUACUGAAAGACAUCUGGGUUGCUUCCAAUUUGGGGCAGUUAUGAAUAAAGCUACUGAAACAUU